UAUACCAAUAUCCUACCCUGUGAUCUGAGAGCAUGUGGCUCCCUUGAGUACAUGGGAUUAACCAAUCAUAUUCUCAGUCUUUAGAACUUGAAUAGGAAUAAGAAAAAAGAAUUUUUACAGCAAAAAGAGGAAAUGACAGAGGGGAACAGACAAUGGGUAUGUCCAAACUGGUACCUGCAGGAUUUCAUUUGCUUAUUGGAUGCAUGUUACAGUAAGCAUCAACUUUCUGCGUGUCUGAGGUAUAACCUGGAGCCUAAGAGUCUGCAUUUUUAUGGCCAUCCACCUGAUCCUAGUGCUGCUGAUCUGUUGGUCACAUUUUGAGUAUGAAAGAUAUAAAAGAAGGAUCGUGCACAUGGAUUGGAAUGCCUUUAUUGAAUCCCCCAGGCGUUCCAAGUAAACACAAAUAGAAUAAUUAGGAACAACUGUAAAGGA
Molecule: long non-coding RNA, 432 nt
Organism: Mustela lutreola (European mink)
Lineage: Eukaryota; Metazoa; Chordata; Mammalia; Carnivora; Mustelidae
Exons: 4
Source: RefSeq, a predicted model, not a curated record